CUGGACUUGACAUGCUAGAGAAAGCCCGGUGAAAGCCGGGCCCCCCUUCGGGGCUCUAGCACAGGUGCUGCAUGGCUGUCGUCAGCUCGUGUCGUGAGAUGUUGGGUUAAGUCCCGCAACGAGCGCAACCCUUGCCUGCUGUUGCCAGCGGAGGAGAAAUCCUGCCGGGGACUCUGCAGGGACUGCCGGUGAUAAACCGGAGGAAGGUGGAGACGACGUCAAGUCAUCAUGGUCCUUACGUCCAGGGCUACACACGUGCUACAAUGGACGGGACAAACCGCUGCAAGCCUGCCAGGGUGAGCGAAUCGGAAAAACCCGGUCUAAAUUCGGAUUGCAGUCUGUAACUCGACUGCAUGAAGUUGGAAUCGCUAGUAAUCGUGGAUCAGCUACGCCACGGUGAAUCCGUUCCC
Molecule: ribosomal RNA, 410 nt
Filed under: uncultured bacterium
Lineage: Bacteria
Description: bacterial SSU rRNA
Rfam family: Bacterial small subunit ribosomal RNA
Source: RNAcentral